GUCGAACGGUGUCUUCGGACAUAGUGGCGCACGGGUGCGUAACACGUAUGCAACCUACCUUACAUUGGGGGAUAGCCUUUCGAAAGGGAGAUUAAUACCGCAUAAGACAGUAGCUGGGCAUCCAGCAGCUGUUAAAGAUUUAUCGAUGUAAGAUGGGCAUGCGUCCAAUUAGUUAGUUGGCGAGGUAACGGCUCACCAAGACUUUGAUUGGUAGGGGAACUGAGAGGUCAAUCCCCCACACUGGCACUGAGAUACGGGCCAGACUCCUACGGGAGGCAGCAGUAGGGAAUAUUGGGCAAUGGACGCAAGUCUGACCCAGCCAUGCCGCGUGCAGGAUGAAGGCGUUAUGCGUUGUAAACUGCUUUUAUACAGGAAGAAACGACUCUUGCGAGAGGCAUUGACGGUACUGUAUGAAUAAGCACCGGCUAACUCCGUGCCAGCAGCCGCGGUAAUACGGAGGGUGCAAGCGUUGUCCGGAUUUAUUGGGUUUAAAGGGUGCGCAGGUGGUUUAUUAAGUCAGUGGUGAAAGGCGGUCGCUCAACGAUUGCAGUGCCAUUGAAACUGGUAGACUUGAGUAAAGUAGAGGUGGGCGGAAUUGAUAGUGUAGCGGUGAAAUGCAUAGAUAUUAUCAAGAACUCCAAUUGCGUAGGCAGCUCACUUGGCCUUUACUGACACUCAUGCACGAAAGUGUGGGUAUCAAACAGGAUUAGAUACCCUGGUAGUCCACACUGUAAACGAUGAUAACUAGGU
This 750-nucleotide ribosomal RNA is filed under the name uncultured bacterium. RNAcentral's name for it is "bacterial SSU rRNA". It matches the Rfam family "Bacterial small subunit ribosomal RNA", at positions 61 to 821 of the family's 1533-position model. The record is from RNAcentral.